Molecule: ribosomal RNA, 468 nt
Filed under: uncultured bacterium
Lineage: Bacteria
Description: partial 16S ribosomal RNA
Rfam family: Bacterial small subunit ribosomal RNA
Source: RNAcentral
GACGAACGCUGGCGGCGUGCUUAACACAUGCAAGUCGAACGGAAAGGCCCUGCUUUUGUGGGGUGCUCGAGUGGCGAACGGGUGAGUAACACGUGAGUAACCUGCCCUUGACUUUGGGAUAACUUCAGGAAACUGGGGCUAAUACCGGAUAGGAGCUCCUGCUGCAUGGUGGGGGUUGGAAAGUUUCGGCGGUUGGGGAUGGACUCGCGGCUUAUCAGCUUGUUGGUGGGGUAGUGGCUUACCAAGGCUUUGACGGGUAGCCGGCCUGAGAGGGUGACCGGCCACAUUGGGACUGAGAUACGGCCCAGACUCCUACGGGAGGCAGCAGUGGGGAAUAUUGCACAAUGGGCGGAAGCCUGAUGCAGAAACGCCGCGUGCGGGAUGACGGCCUUCGGGUUGUAAACCGCUUUCGCCUGUGAUGAAGCGUGAGUGACGGUAAUGGGUAAAGAAGCACCGGCUAACUACGUG